UAUUAACUCUGGCGGCGUGCCUAAUACAUGCAAGUCGAGCGAACAGACGAGGAGCUUGCUCCUCUGACGUUAGCGGCGGACGGGUGAGUAACACGUGGAUAACCUACCUAUAAGACUGGGAUAACUUCGGGAAACCGGAGCUAAUACCGGAUAAUAUAUUGAACCGCAUGGUUCAAUAGUGAAAGACGGUUUUGCUGUCACUUAUAGAUGGAUCCGCGCCGCAUUAGCUAGUUGGUAAGGUAACGGCUUACCAAGGCAACGAUGCGUAGCCGACCUGAGAGGGUGAUCGGCCACACUGGAACUGAGACACGGUCCAGACUCCUACGGGAGGCAGCAGUAGGGAAUCUUCCGCAAUGGGCGAAAGCCUGACGGAGCAACGCCGCGUGAGUGAUGAAGGUCUUCGGAUCGUAAAACUCUGUUAUUAGGGAAGAACAAAUGUGUAAGUAACUAUGCACAUCUUGACGGUACCUAAUCAGAAAGCCACGGCUAACUACGUG
RNAcentral lists this ribosomal RNA (497 nucleotides) under uncultured bacterium. RNAcentral's name for it is "partial 16S ribosomal RNA". It matches the Rfam family "Bacterial small subunit ribosomal RNA", at positions 29 to 507 of the family's 1533-position model. The record is from RNAcentral.